RNAcentral lists this ribosomal RNA (497 nucleotides) under uncultured bacterium. RNAcentral describes it as "partial 16S ribosomal RNA". It matches the Rfam family "Bacterial small subunit ribosomal RNA", at positions 28 to 507 of the family's 1533-position model. The record is from RNAcentral.
GAUGAACGCUGGCGGCGUGCCUAAUACAUGCAAGUCGAGCGAACAGAUGAGGAGCUUGCUCCUCUGACGUUAGCGGCGGACGGGUGAGUAACACGUGGAUAACCUACCUAUAAGACUGGGAUAACUUCGGGAAACCGGAGCUAAUACCGGAUAAUAUAUUGAACCGCAUGGUUCAAUAGUGAAAGACGGUUUUGCUGUCACUUAUAGAUGGAUCCGCGCCGCAUUAGCUAGUUGGUAAGGUAACGGCUUACCAAGGCGACGAUGCGUAGCCGACCUGAGAGGGUGAUCGGCCACACUGGAACUGAGACACGGUCCAGACUCCUACGGGAGGCAGCAGUAGGGAAUCUUCCGCAAUGGGCGAAAGCCUGACGGAGCAACGCCGCGUGAGUGAUGAAGGUCUUCGGAUCGUAAAACUCUGUUAGUAGGGAAGAACAAAUGUGUAAGUAACUAUGCACGUCUUGACGGUACCUAAACAGAAAGCCACGGCUAACUACGUG